This 301-nucleotide ribosomal RNA is filed under the name uncultured bacterium. Its description in RNAcentral is "partial 16S ribosomal RNA". It matches the Rfam family "Bacterial small subunit ribosomal RNA", at positions 509 to 807 of the family's 1533-position model. The record is from RNAcentral.
CAGCAGCCGCGGGAAUACGUAGGUGGCAAGCGUUGUCCGGAAUUAUUGGGCGUAAAGGGCUCGCAGGCGGUUUCUUAAGUCUGAUGUGAAAGCCCCCGGCUCAACCGGGGAGGGUCAUUGGAAACUGGGAAACUUGAGUGCAGAAGAGGAGAGUGGAAUUCUACGUGUAGCGGUGAAAUGCGUAGAGAUGUGGAGGAACACCAGUGGCGAAGGCGACUCUCUGGUCUGUAACUGACGCUGAGGAGCGAAAGCGUGGGGAGCGAACAGGAUUAGAGACCCCAGUAGUCCCUGUCUCUUAUAC